Molecule: long non-coding RNA, 1179 nt
Organism: Oncorhynchus gorbuscha (pink salmon)
Lineage: Eukaryota; Metazoa; Chordata; Actinopteri; Salmoniformes; Salmonidae
Exons: 5
Source: RefSeq, a predicted model, not a curated record
GUUUCACAGACAAAAUGAGCCCCCCCAAAAAAUAGAUUGAAAAGCAGAGAUAAAUCAACCGAGAAAGAUGACAUGUCAUUUGGAGACAAAGUGUUUUGACGACGCGUUGUCAAGGUUGAAUAUAUUUCUACAGGUCGCAGGAACGAGACUGGAAAAAUAUCAGCACAAAUGUGAUGAGUUGGAGAUGCAACACAAUGACUUCCCAUCUUAGUACUUUACUGUUGAGAAGGACAUGGGGCUCUACGUGAAGUCCUCACUGGCCCAGAAGGAGGAUGAGUUUACAGACCUGUCAGAGCAACUGCAGCUCAGUCAACUUCGCCAAGAGUUGCAGGAGAACAAGGACAAGCUCACCUUUUGAGAACAUGGUUCUUGGGGGUAAGCUGGAAGCUCCGGAGGAGUCCCUUGUGCAGAAGGAGGAGCUGAUGACUUGCCUGGAGGAGCAGCUCAGGAAGUAGAGACAGGAGCAUCACACAGUCAACUACAGCCUAGAGAGGAAGACCGUGCUGGACAGCGACAGGCCACCACCCACCUGUGUCACUUCAAGACAGGAGUCCUGGGCCUUAUACCGUGUUGUACACCCAACUACAACCACAUCCUGCCCAAGAUGGGACCCCUCUCCAAGAGCACCUGCCUUCAACUUCAUAGCCUCUUUGUUCGUCUGGAAACCCCCACCGCCCUAGAAGAGGACUAGUCCGUCCAAACCCUCUGGUCCAGAGUGCCUGGCUCCUCUGCUGGGUGACCCUUCCAGAGGGAGCCUGUUUACCCCCCACAGACCCACCCCAAUCAGGGGUAGCCCCAUUGAACCCAUCCUCAGAGAGGCAGGACAGGGCUUCAAACCCCUUUAAUGGGACAUUUCCAACAGAAAAUAAAUGGUGCUACUUGGUUAUGCAAAAAAUAUUGUCACUUAUACAUUUUAUUUUUCAGCCACUAGGUGGCAGCAACUAUACUUAGAAUAUGUCCUACUGUGUUAGACAAAGAUCUGCCACUGGAAAGUUUUCUAGAGAAAGCAAUCAAAAGCUCUGUUAUUUUGUGUUAUUAGUUUUUUAAAGACUGUAUCCAAAAAAUAAACAUCAGAAAUGUAUACUCAAAAGAUUAAGGCAUACAAAAAAGUAUUUAGUCAGCAACCAAUUGUGCAAGUUCUCCCACUUAAAAAGAUGAGAGGCCUGUAAUUUUCAUCAU